This 431-nucleotide ribosomal RNA is filed under the name uncultured bacterium. RNAcentral describes it as "bacterial SSU rRNA". It matches the Rfam family "Bacterial small subunit ribosomal RNA", at positions 518 to 951 of the family's 1533-position model. The record is from RNAcentral.
CGGUAAUACGUAGGGGGCAAGCGUUGUCCGGAUUUAUUGGGCGUAAAGGGUACGCAGGCGGUUAUGUAAGUCGGAUGUAAAAGACCGGGGCUCAACCCCGGCAAGCAUCUGAAACUGCAUGACUUGAGUUAAGGAGAGGAAAGUGGAAUUCCUAGUGUAGCGGUGGAAUGCGUAGAUAUUAGGAGGAAUACCCGUGGCGAAGGCGACUUUCUGGACUUAUACUGACGCUGAGGUACGAAAGUGUGGGGAGCAAACAGGAUUAGAUACCCUGGUAGUCCACGCCGUAAACGAUGAGUGCUAAGUGUUAGGGGGUUUCCGCCCCUUAGUGCUGCAGUAAACGCAUUAAGCACUCCGCCUGGGGAGUACGGCCCCAGGCUGAAACUCAAAGAAAUUGACGGGGNCCNCACAACNGUGGANCAUGUGNUUUAUUC